UGGGGAAUAUUGCACAAUGGGCGAAAGACCUGAUGCAGCGACGCCGCGUGAACGAAGAAGUAUUUCGGUAUGUAAAGUUCUAUCAGCAGGGAAGAAGAAAUGACGGUACCUGACUAAGAAGCUCCGGCUAAAUACGUGCCAGCAGCCGCGGUAAUACGUAUGGAGCAAGCGUUAUCCGGAUUUACUGGGUGUAAAGGGAGCGUAGGCGGUCUUAUAAGUCUGAUGUGAAAGCCCGGGGCUCAACCCCGGGACUGCAUUGGAAACUGUAGGACUAGAGUGUCGGAGAGGAAAGUGGAAUUCCUAGUGUAGCGGUGAAAUGCGUAGAGAUUAGGAAGAACACCGGUGGCGAAGGCGACUUUCUGGACGACAACUGACGCUGAGGCGCGAAAGCGUGGGGAGCAAACAGGAUUAGAUACCCUGGUAGU
This 425-nucleotide ribosomal RNA is filed under the name uncultured Lachnospiraceae bacterium. Its description in RNAcentral is "bacterial SSU rRNA". It matches the Rfam family "Bacterial small subunit ribosomal RNA", at positions 355 to 794 of the family's 1533-position model. The record is from RNAcentral. Lineage: Bacteria; Bacillati; Bacillota; Clostridia; Lachnospirales; Lachnospiraceae.